Molecule: long non-coding RNA, 388 nt
Organism: Bactrocera dorsalis (oriental fruit fly)
Lineage: Eukaryota; Metazoa; Arthropoda; Insecta; Diptera; Tephritidae
Exons: 2
Source: RefSeq, a predicted model, not a curated record
UAAAAACGCUACCGUGUUGUGUUAAUCUUCAGUUGAAACAGAAGGUGUCUUUCGCUGUUUUCAAGUCCCGAUUUUACUUCGUCAAGGAUGUGGCCGAAAAGUACUUUCAUUUUCUUGCUGUUUGCUUUCCUAAUUGCUAGUGAAUUGGCAAUAAGCUCUGGUAAUCCACUUGAUCGAAAGAGAGGCGGAGGUAAUCAAAACCCUCAAAAUGAUCAGUGGGGUGGUUGCGAUGGGUGCGGUGGUUGCAAAUGACCCAAAAUAGAAAGAGCUGAGAAAAAAAUUAAAAAAAAAACUUAAAUUUUCCUAUUCUAUCAAAUAUCCAUUUACUUAUGUAUGUAAAAUGUCAAAAAUAAAUACGAAUAAAGUUGCACAUAGUAAAAUAAUGAAA